CAAAAAGUAACUAAUGGAACUCUGAGGUUGUCCCAUUGUUUCCUAUUGGGAAAUAUAGGCUGAGCAGCGUACUCUGUUGUCAUCAAACGCUACCCCAAAAUGCCGUUUGCCCUUGGAACGCUGAGCUCCCCCAUUGUUUUCCUAUGGAGAGGCAUGCUGGUUGGGUAGCGUACUCUGCUGUCAUCGAUCGCCAGACCAGAAAUAGUUAAAAGUUUCAAUUUCUUCCCUACUUCCUCAUUAUGCAGACCCUACAACAAGUGCAGCUGAAAAUUCACUCAUCAAAACCACUGCUACAGUUGCUGGCGAUCAUGGCAAUGCAGUGACUAGCCCACAGAGUUUGGCUAGGCUAGUCUCUGUCAACGGUGAAGCUAGCAGAGCCCCCCUCCCAGUACCGCCACCAGCCUCCUUGCCGCCACCCAGCUAAGCAGCAGCUGCUAGCAAUGCUAAAUCACACGGGCCAGAGCCACUUACAUCCAGAGGAGCAACCCCAGAUGACCUUGGGGUUGAGAAGCCCAACCAGGUCACAUUAGGUAAGUUUCCAGUAAGAUUGUAUUCAGGGAAGAAGCUGUCUUUUGGUAAGAAUUCAGUACAAACUGUUGCAGCCUUUUGUUUCUCCUGAUGAAAUUUCGGUCCAGCACGUCAUCAGAUUCAACCUUUACCAUUAAAGGGUUCUGUGAUUGGAAGCAUGCUUUACAGAGAGAUAAAGGACUGAACGAACAUGCCACCUCGAAAUAACACUUAACGUGAGGCUAUGGAGAGAGAGAAACGCGUAAAGAGACAGGGCAGGAAAUAUCAACACUGGUUGACACGGAUCAGCUUGCACGUCAUCGAUAUUACCUGGG
Molecule: long non-coding RNA, 842 nt
Filed under: Salmo salar (Atlantic salmon)
Lineage: Eukaryota; Metazoa; Chordata; Actinopteri; Salmoniformes; Salmonidae
Description: lncRNA (ENSSSAG00000113851.1, ENSSSAG00075019061.1)
Source: RNAcentral